AGCGGCGGACGGGUGAGUAAUGCCUAGGAAUCUGCCUGGUAGUGGGGGAUAACGUUCGGAAACGAACGCUAAUACCGCAUACGUCCUACGGGAGAAAGCAGGGGACCUUCGGGCCUUGCGCUAUCAGAUGAGCCUAGGUCGGAUUAGCUAGUUGGUGAGGUAAUGGCUCACCAAGGCGACGAUCCGUAACUGGUCUGAGAGGAUGAUCAGUCACACUGGAACUGAGACACGGUCCAGACUCCUACGGGAGGCAGCAGUGGGGAAUAUUGGACAAUGGGCGAAAGCCUGAUCCAGCCAUGCCGCGUGUGUGAAGAAGGUCUUCGGAUUGUAAAGCACUUUAAGUUGGGAGGAAGGGCAUUAACCUAAUACGUUAGUGUUUUGACGUUACCGACAGAAUAAGCACCGGCUAACUCUGUGCCAGCAGCCGCGGUAAUACAGAGGGUGCAAGCGUUAAUCGGAAUUACUGGGCGUAAAGCGCGCGUAGGUGGUUUGUUAAGUUGGAUGUGAAAUCCCCGGGCUCAACCUGGGAACUGC
RNAcentral lists this ribosomal RNA (534 nucleotides) under Pseudomonas fluorescens. RNAcentral's name for it is "bacterial SSU rRNA". It matches the Rfam family "Bacterial small subunit ribosomal RNA", at positions 94 to 624 of the family's 1533-position model. Lineage: Bacteria; Pseudomonadati; Pseudomonadota; Gammaproteobacteria; Pseudomonadales; Pseudomonadaceae. The record is from RNAcentral.